UGGCGGACGGGUGAGUAAUGUCUGGGAAACUGCCCGAUGGAGGGGGAUAACUACUGGAAACGGUAGCUAAUACCGCAUAACGUCGCGAGACCAAAGAGGGGGACCUUAGGGCCUCUUGCCAUCGGAUGUGCCCAGAUGGGAUUAGCUAGUAGGUGGGGUAACGACUCACCUAGGCGACGAUCCCUAGCUGGUCUGAGAGGAUGACCAGCCACACUGGAACUGAGACACGGUCCAG
Molecule: ribosomal RNA, 235 nt
Filed under: uncultured bacterium
Lineage: Bacteria
Description: partial 16S ribosomal RNA
Rfam family: Bacterial small subunit ribosomal RNA
Source: RNAcentral